GUAAAGGGAAUGACACAUACCCCUUGCCUCUGGUGACAUGUGGUGUGGAGUAGCUGGUGUUAUCCAUUAUCCGUCCUUUUGGAAUAUCAGCAUGUUGGAGCUACAAACCAGAGGAACGAAUGUCGGUCUGAUUGUGCUUUCUGUGAUCACAGUCAGCAGCCUGUGUGAUGUAGCCUUUGCCCUCCUGAUAAUCCAUCAAGGAGAACACCAGCACUGUCUUUAUGAUGCAUAAAAAUGUGAAAUAAAAGCUCACUGUGCCCCUUAGGCUGGCCUGUGUUCAGUGAGAUUUGAGGCUACAUUUUCAGAAGGGGUGAUGUGCUCCAUGCAACAUCAUUGUCUUGGGUAGACAGUACUACAGCUUCUUUGGCAAAGAUAAAAAUACCUGAAUUUCUCUGGUAACCAGACCACCAUCUUGCCUUUCAACACCAGCAGAAGCAGAUGUGGGGCUGACUGCACAAUGAACAAAAAGAAUACUUUGAAAAGAAAAUGACAGCAAAAAUAUAAGCUCAGUUUGUAGCUUAUCCAUGA
This is a long non-coding RNA of Passer domesticus (house sparrow), 528 nucleotides long. RefSeq lists it as uncharacterized. The record is from RefSeq and is a predicted model, not a curated record. NCBI's taxonomy places the organism in Eukaryota, Metazoa, Chordata, Aves, Passeriformes, Passeridae. The transcript has 2 exons.